This is a small nuclear RNA of Macaca fascicularis (crab-eating macaque), 107 nucleotides long. The record is from Ensembl. NCBI's taxonomy places the organism in Eukaryota, Metazoa, Chordata, Mammalia, Primates, Cercopithecidae.
GUGCUCGCUUUGAUAGCACAUAUACUAAAAUUGGUACAAUACGGAGAAGAUUAGCAUGGCCCCUGCACAAGGAUGUCAUGCAAAUUCAUGAAGUGUUCCAUAUUUUU